Non-coding RNA from Lactuca sativa (garden lettuce), 3191 nucleotides. Lineage: Eukaryota; Viridiplantae; Streptophyta; Magnoliopsida; Asterales; Asteraceae. The record is from RefSeq and is a predicted model, not a curated record.
AUCUCCUAUGUGUCACAGAUUAGUAUUUAACAAAAUAAAAGACAAACUUGGCCAUCAUCCUUGUUUCCUGAUGUCAUAUAUUUUCUUAAAGUGUAAGUUAUUUUUAGGACUAAAUUCAUCCAACUCAAUCAAUAUGCCACAGAGAGGAUCCAAGGGCGUUUGAAGUUGAUCAAGUAAAAAGGCUCUUCACUAUUUAUGGUGCAUAUUAAGGAGAAGCAGAAAGCAGUUAAUCGAAACGGUAAAUUCUUUUGGUAGCAAUUAACAAUUUUAAAGAGUACAAAAUGCAACUUUAUAAUUUUAACUAGACAAUUUUAAAGAGUACAAAAUGGACGUAAAAUGUUACAAUAACCUCAAAUAAGGACCCAAAUUCAUAAAUUAGCUAUGAUCAGGGACCAAAAAUGUAUUAUAGUCUUGUAUCUAGGUUUGUGUGCUUUAUAUCCAUUUUCAUAUAUGACAGUAAAGGGGUGUUUGGCUUAGCUUUUGAGAAGCCAAAAGAUCUUUUAGAAAAAGAUAGAAGCCAAAAGAUGUUUGGCAAAACAAUUUUAAAACCUACUUUUGGAUUUUUGAUAGAAGGAAAAUCGACUUUUUGGAAAAGUCUGAAAACCUGACUUUUUGAAACUUUUCCAAAAAGGACUUUUGGCCCUUAAAAACUAAGCCAAACACCCCCUAAGUUAGUUGUAAAUGAGUUAUUAAAGUUUGAUGUAAUAUGCCAAAUUGGUUGAAAUUACGUUACUACCCUCUUCGGACCCAAGUGGUUUGCUUUUCCUAGAAUGAAUUCAACAUAUGUUGGAAAUUGUGGCUUGUAGUCAUCAAUCAAAGCUAAUGCAAGAACAUUGUUGCAUUUGUAGUAUGUAAUGAAUCACAACAUCAAGCUAAAGAAAUUGAUGAAUGCCUACUACUCUAAUAAAACUCCUGAUGAGCUAAUUUGUUUUUCAUUGUUUAACAAAAUAUAAGUACUCUUUUUUCAUUGUUUAAUAGUCCCUUUGAAAAUUAAAAGGUUAUGGGUUGUGCAAGCUUUUUUUUAGUUACUAUGAUAUGAUGUUUAAAGGACAAUAUCAUUUUCCUUUUUGAAAAUUGGAGAGCUGGUUUUUCUGUAAUGCUUCUGUUUUCAUUUUCAGAUAAAAAACAUUAAACUUUUUUUUUUGAAUAAUGGCAACUAGAGAGGCAGAGAUGAUGGAUAUCACCCAAAUUGGUUAUGAUAACAACAAGCCUCAAAAUUAUGUUAACUUUUCAAGGAAAAUUGUGGGAAAUAACAGCAUACUUUAACCGAUUUGUACAAAUUAAUUUAGUUUUUAUUCAUAAUAGCAACGUAUUUUUAGCUUUUUCUUCCAAAAACAACAAUCUUCAACUUGAAGAAAUGCUAAUAGGGCAUUUCAAGAAGAGCAUUUUCAAAUGUUUAACUCAAUGAAUUUGAAAACACAUAUGCCAAGUGCAAUUGUGUUGGUCAAUGUUUUAUGUAUGGUAUGAUAGAUUUUUUUUUACAUGUAUAGCAAUGUUCUUAUGUUUGUUUUAUGAUUUUCUUACUUGUUGGUCAUUAGUAGGUAAUUAAAGCAUGGGCAACAACUUAAGGGAUCAAGGUAAUAUAUCUAUCUGUAAUUGUGUAAUGUAAUCACUAUAAUCGGUAAAAUGGUAAAUGAUUUAGUGUUUUUAUGGAUUUCACCAUUAGAAUAUUUACCAAUAGUGUGUAGAUUUGUAUAAUUUUCAAAGGUUCAUUGAUUUAUUGAACAUAUCCAACUUCCUGGUGUUCUUCAGGAUUCGGUCACCUAAUCAAAAAAACUAAAGCAUCCAAUAGAAGAAGAAGAUUAUCGGUCAAGCAAUUGGUGUGAUGUGUUGUUAGUAAAAAUUUAAUUGUUUUGAAAACCCCAAAAAAAUAUUGUUUAGCUGUAGAUUGUUCUUCUUUGCACUUUAGGUGUUUGAUGAAAUGUCUUGAUUAAGUUAAAGAGUUGAUUUGCUUUAUUUUGAGGGUGAAAAUGUUAUCGGACUAAAUUAUGUAGAGAGAAGUACAUAAUCACAAGUCAAAUUAAAAUAUUAAACAACUUAUUGGGCUAUUAGAGACUCAAUUAGGGAAAGAUAAUUUAUUGUUUGCAUUUUUAACUCAAUUAGAAAUAGACCUGUAUUUUAGAUCUAACUAAAAGUUGCAUAUAAAGUUGUGUGAUUCUAUUUAGUUAAGUUAGGUCUCCUUCCAAUUAAUAUACACUAGGAUGAAAUUGGCGUGUUGAUUGUUGACCAACUACUGUAUAAUUUGCGUAUUUGAAACAGUUUUCCAUUGUCACUACUACAAAAAAAAAAAAAAAUUGGACUUGUGUUUAUAAUUUUUUACUGCAGGAUUUUAGAGAUUGAAAUUUGAUUUUUGGGGCAUAAGGUCAAAUGCUUAAAUCUUAAUCAAAUGAGGAUACUUCCAAGAGAUGUUGUGAUUUUUUGUGGGCUUGUUUAUGUCAUUGCCUCUCUUCCUAAUAUUCCCUUUUUAUACAUGUUCAUAUCAAUUUAUCUUUCUAAUAUAUUUGUUAAAUCUACAGAUAACUGAGAUUGUUUGGUUGCCAAAGCUAAUUAAGGAGAAGUUGAAAGAAGUUGAUCAAAAUGAUUCCAUUCAUUACUCUGAAACAAGAAAAGGUUUUAGAAACCAAAUAAAGGCACACCUUCUAUCCACUGAUUACAAGCUGACAAAACAUGGAAACGAUAUGCAGGAGUACAUAUUCUAUUCAUUACUCUGAAACAAGAAAAGGUUUUAGAAACCAAAUAAACAACUUAUGGUGGAAAAAAAAGAAAAGAAGAUGCUUCCAAGAAUCAAGGUGUACACCUUCUAUCCACUGAUUACAAGCUGACAAAAGCAUGGAAACGAUAUGCGGGAGUACAUGUAACUAUAGCUAUGAGUAUAAAACACUAUCUGUUUUUAAAGGAACAACAUGGAGUCAUAUUUGGGAUCAUGUUCAUUUUUAUACAGGAUAUAAUACACCAAAUUGUUUGAAAUUACGUUAUUACCCUCUUCAGACACAGGUAAGGGUUGACGUGGCAAUGAAGCAUAUGUUUGAAAGUGUGGCUUGUAAAAGAAGUUGAUGAAUGCAUACUCUGAGGAAAACUCCUGACUGAGGAGGUAAUUUUUUCAUUGUUUAAUAUAAUUGUAACUACUCUUGUUAUCAUGAUAACAGACUUAAACAUCUCCAAUAACAUGAGCCAAUCAAUCUUUCAUGAAU